Molecule: ribosomal RNA, 464 nt
Filed under: Vreelandella stevensii
Lineage: Bacteria; Pseudomonadati; Pseudomonadota; Gammaproteobacteria; Oceanospirillales; Halomonadaceae
Description: partial 16S ribosomal RNA
Rfam family: Bacterial small subunit ribosomal RNA
Source: RNAcentral
CCUACGGUGGCUGUAGUGGGGAAUAUUGGACAAUGGGCGAAAGCCUGAUCCAGCCAUGCCGCGUGUGUGAAGAAGGCCUUCGGGUUGUAAAGCACUUUCAGUGGGGAAGAAAGCCUUGGGGCUAAUACCCUCGAGGAAGGACAUCACCCACAGAAGAAGCACCGGCUAACUCCGUGCCAGCAGCCGCGGUAAUACGGAGGGUGCGAGCGUUAAUCGGAAUUACUGGGCGUAAAGCGCGCGUAGGCGGUCUGAUAAGCCGGUUGUGAAAGCCCCGGGCUCAACCUGGGAACGGCAUCCGGAACUGUCAGGCUAGAGUGCAGGAGAGGAAGGUAGAAUUCCCGGUGUAGCGGUGAAAUGCGUAGAGAUCGGGAGGAAUACCAGUGGCGAAGGCGGCCUUCUGGACUGACACUGACGCUGAGGUGCGAAAGCGUGGGUAGCAAACAGGAUUAGAUACCCCGGUAGUC